Molecule: long non-coding RNA, 1444 nt
Filed under: Brassica rapa (field mustard)
Lineage: Eukaryota; Viridiplantae; Streptophyta; Magnoliopsida; Brassicales; Brassicaceae
Description: long non-coding RNA (BRAP_LNC007865)
Source: RNAcentral
GGACUAGUAUAAGGUAUAUACUAAAUUACUAAUAUACCAUACGAAAAGUUGGGUCGGAUUACAAUGAAAAAACAUUAAAUUAUAUGCAGAAAAUGGAUUUUGGAUAACAUGCCAAAGCCGAGAGUUUCUCAUUGGUUUGCGCUGAAUCUUCCUCUUCCCUCAAGUUCUCUUACUUGAACCUCCGCCGUUUUGUUUGAACUAAACAUAUCUUUUUCGCUUCUUAUUAAAAUAGUAUACACAUGAAAGCCGAAGAUACGUCUUGUCAUUAACCACCCUUGUUUUUUUACUCAAAGAUUUUAGGUUUUCUAUAACCUCGUCUAGUAGAAAAUAAAAACCAAAGCGAUAAAAAGCGAAGAACAAAACAAUGGUCUACUAACGGUGUUUUAACGUUCAAUGAUUCCAACUAUGAAUCGAACUCUUAUCUUAUCUUAGUACUAAAAAAAAAAAAAAAAACUCUUAUCUUAUAGCUAUGCAGAUCUCGAUUUGAAGUUACAGAAAAAAACAAAAAUAAAUGUAGAUGGUUGGUUUAAAUACCGGACGUGAAAAACAAAAGAAAAAUACCGGACGUGAUCAUUUUACAUGCAACAUAUUAUAAAAAAAACUCUCUUUUGGUUAUUACUUUUUAGUUUUAUCAAUAAAGUUUAAUCAUUUAUAAUUUUACGUUUUAUUUUAUAUUUUAGUUUCAAAAAUAAAUACAUUAAUUAUAUUCUAAAAUAUCAAUCUUCUGUAUACCAAAAAAGCUAGAACAUCAAUGUUUUAUUUACGAAGGGAGUAUGAUUUUAAUUAGUGUAAAUGUAUAUAAAUCAUCUUAUCUAUUAAAAGAGAAGUCACAACUUCUUUUCAUGUGUGAUUUUUUAAAAAUUGGACUUAUUGGACCUAUUACUAGAAUGUCAUAUAACAUAACCACAUACCCUUCCAAUCUUUUAAUGAAAUUAUCUUGACUCGCGUAAUAAUGGGGAGAUCCACCUACCGUUCGUUUUAUAGUAGAUCUAAAUAUAUAGAAGCAAAAUAUCUCAAAAUUAUCUUGACUCGCGUAAUAAUGGGGAGAUCCACCUACUGUUCGUUUUAUAGUAGAUCCACCUGCAAAUAUAUAGAAGCAAAAUAUCUCAAUAGAUACGGUUUUUCUAGAUUUCUUGCUUGGAUUCAUCUUGGUUAGCUGGGCUUAUCAUUCCUCACGAUCUUCCUCACAAUAUAAUUCCUUGGCUUUCCUUGGAGCCUGUUUGUAAUUUAAAACUGUUAAGAGAAUAAAUUUUGAAGUCAAUCAUUGAACUUUGUAACUAAUUUAUAGAUGAUACAGAACUUACCUAUACUGUUUGAGACGCCUAACCCAUGUACGAGCUCUGAUUCUUGAUCUCAAGAUCAUUUAACAGCUCCUCUGCAGAGAUCUUCCAUAUCAGUCAUCUUCAAGCUGAUUCUCUGCAGAGAUUACAAAAACAGAGCUUAA